CCAGAUCAGAUCUGGGUGCGAUGAUGAUGGCAGCAAAUUCUAAAAACAUGUUCAGUGUCUUUAUAACAGGAAAGCUGUAAACUUAGAAAUGUAGGCUGCAGCUCAUGUGCUCUGGUCUGGGCUGGUA
RNAcentral lists this microRNA precursor (127 nucleotides) under Pongo abelii (Sumatran orangutan). RNAcentral's name for it is "miRNA". It matches the Rfam family "mir-1272 microRNA precursor family". Lineage: Eukaryota; Metazoa; Chordata; Mammalia; Primates; Hominidae. The record is from RNAcentral.